CAAAAACUGACGACGAGUCAAAGGGCAGGUAACUGUAAACCUGAAAGUCAAGUGAGUUGCCACCCUUUAGACAUUAAAUCAUCCGAUUUUCCUGACCUGAUUUUACCGACUUUGUAGGUCUCGUAUCCACGUUUCAUGUUAAGGUUGGAAUUAGAAUCUGUAAUCCACAAUAUACGAUUAAACUGAAGGUGAGAUUGAAGGAGCUGACACUUUCAGACUAGAAAUAUGGCUAACUGUGGCUGGCUAUGGUCUAUAAUAUGGGUGAUCAUUCUACUGGUAUUUGGGUGGCCCAUCGGACUCAUCUGUGCCCUCUUCUACUGCAUGCUAAGUCCAUUUGCUGCCUGUUGCCAUGGAUGUAGUGAACUCAUCAAUCUGCUAGACAGAGGUGUAAAACUUCCUAUGACUUGUGCUCAAAACAUGGUUGCUGGAAAGUCCAUGUGUUAAUGUUCAUUCUACGCAAUUUCUGUGUGGAUAGUCCGAUAGGGAAGCUCAAAGUGCAAUAGUAUGUAACUGCCAUUUUAUCUCGGAUCCUCAGUGACACAGACUGCAGAUUUAGAAAAGUGAUUUUUGUACAUAAAUGUUAUUUUCAUCCCAAGAUCUCAAUAAAUCCAGACAUUUGUGGCUCAUAAAACAAAAUGUGCAUCAGUGAUUUGGAUGGUGGCUAAAGUUCAGCCAACUUUGAAUCAAUGAAAUUGAAGUGAUUUUUCUGCCAAAGAAUGUUCUAAGUAAUUAGAUGGUGUUAUCAGAGCUUGUAUAUGACCCCUAUCAGAUAAUAUAUUCCAGAGAUUUUUUUCUAGCCAUUUUUUGUAAUUAUAUAUAUGUAUAUGCAGAGGGUGCAUGCUGCCUCUAUAUGUAUCUGCUUGUCAUACCCACCAUUUAGCAUUAAUUGGUUUUAAAAUCAAUUGUUUAUUUAAAAGUCACUUCAUUUUACCUUUUUUUCACCAGAUCAACACAUUGUAGUUUAGGCUAAGAAAAAAUGUCUAUCUGUAACCAUGUGUCAGCAGCAGCUGAAAAUAUUGUUUGGAGAAGACACAAGAUCAGUAGAUUGUAUUUAGAGAUCAUGUGCUACCUCAGGAGAUGAGGUGUCUGGAGAGCAUCAAAGGAAAUUUGAUAUUAACAAUAGACAUACCAAUUUUUUUUUUUUUUUUUUUAAAUCCCAGUAUCAACUGCAGGGCUACUCUUAUACAUUCAAAAAUCAAGAUGGCAGCCUUAGACUCAGAUUUCAGAAGUCUUCCAUUUAUCGCGUUUGACCUGAACUGAUUUUACCGUGUGAUCCACUCUUGGUUAUGAUCGUGUUAUGUUAUUUCGCUAUUUUACCAUGCAGAAUUUAUUCAAUUGAUCAGAAUAACUGGCUCCAGGCAAAGUUAGAAAUUUUCAUAUUUUGGCUCAAGUCAAAUUCCAAAAUGACUGACCCAGCUGCUGAUUUUCUUCAGUUUUAGAAAAGGUGAUUUUAAUCAAGCUUGGAACUAAUAUCGUAGCCUUCAUCAGGUGCUAUUAUGUUUCUAGAUCCACACUGCCCUCACACUGAGGUAUUCUCUUCUGUGUUAAAUUAUUGCCUACCUAUGAAGGAGGGCAGUUUCUGUGCUAAGGUGUUUGUCGUAUUGAGAACAUUCAAUAUAAUCAUAGCUUUUUACUGAAUUUCAUAUAAUUUUUAUAUUUAUGAUAAUGAUUUUAUUGUUGAAGUAAUAUUUUAUGCAGCAUAUAUUUAAUUUUAAUGUGUUUAUUUUCUUGAAUUGAACAGAAAUUUUACAAUUUUCACAAGGACAUAUACUGUACAGUGCUUUUGAUUUUUUAUAUUUUUUUAGAGAUCUGCAAAAAAAAGUAGCAAUUUUCAUUGUUGGAAAUACUCCAUACCAUAUUCCAGCAUAGCAUUUUCUCAGAUCAUCUUAAAUUCAUUUUCAAAAUCAUCUGUUCCUUUAGUAGUUCUUUGUGAAUUAUGAUAUGAUUUUGUUAAUGUUGACCAACAUUAAUGAAUAAUGAUCUCAUUGUAGAUUUGAUCAGUGACUUGGCACAAAUAUGCCACCUUGUAGUUAUGAACUAUGGGGUGGGAAUUUGUUUCUAGUCCCUAUGGUUUUAAAAAAAAUUUAAAUUCAUAAAGGAUAAAUUCUUUAUAAAUCUGAAAAAGUUUAUCAGAAAAUUACACAUGUAUUUUUCUUUUUUUUUUGUUCAACAUGCCCUUCUGUAAGUAUGAAAUAAAUUCAUGUAAUUUUAUUUGGAAAUGUAACAUGUAAACAUGUAGAGGUUUUUAAUCUUGAAACUGGAAAACCAUAGGAAAUCCAUGUUUGGCUGGUGACAACAUACAUACACUUUCAUAAUUCAUACAAAUUCCAUCAUUUUACAAUUUGAUCCAAAUAUUUGUGUGGCUUUUACUGUAAAUACAAAGAUAAUGAAGGUGAUGGAUACCAGUAGGUCUUAUGCAAACCUUUUUUUGAACCCUGAUCUGAAUCAAGACUUGUACUUUUAAAGAAAUAAAAAAAUUGACAGUGAGGGAUAUGAACAUAUUUAAAGCUUAAUUUAUUUCUUACAACAGCGGAACUUGCCAUAGAUAUGUAUUUAAAAAGAAAAUAAAUGUACCGGGGGUUUUAAAUUUUCUGUGUUAAUACAUACAAUUGAUCAGGUUGUAGUUAUAUUCAUAUAUAGAUUGUAUUGAUGUUGUAUUAUUAUAACCCUUGUCAAAGUUGUAUGGAAAUAUGGAUAUUCAUAUAUUUAGAUAUUUUUGUUAUAUUUUACUGGUAUAUUGUAGGAUAUUCUAUAUACAUACAUAUACAGAUACCUCUCUUAGACUCUUCUGUGCCUUUAUAGGAUCGAGUGCCCCAGAUCAUGGCAGUCUUAGGAAUUGAGAUCUAAUCGCUGAUAAUAUCUGUUGAAAAUGAUUUUUUAGAAAGAUGAAACACCGGCUAACUCAAUAGACAUAGAAAUGAAUAUUUGUGAAUAAUUUCACAGGUGCAGUUUUAAACUCCUGCCUCUCCAAGCAAUGGUUAUAUACAAAAGAUGGGAAUUUUGGUAUCAAUGCUCCCAACAGAGUUAGUAUACUAAAUGCAUAUUAUGUUACCAAAGACAUAUAGACAGUGUCAUGUUUUUUUUUAUUCUGGGGCUAGAUCUUCAUCCUGCUUUCUAAUGAACUUGUUGAAAAUUGUGCAGGAGACUUGUCUGUCAAAGUUACAAAUGUAGUACAAAUCCAAGUCAUUCUGCAUUCUUUUUGACAUUUUAACUAAAGUCUGUCCAAAACUAUUGUGAUUUAGCAUGUAUUAGUAUCUUUAAGUGCUUUUUCACUACAUGUGUGUAUGAUUUUGCAUAAUAGUCAUACUCAUAUGUAUGAAAGCUUGCUUGAGAAAAGUGGGGCAUUCAUAUUUUCUGUGUAGCAUGUUCAGCAAUAAAAGUAUUUUGUAAUUUUACCAUUUGAUCAUUACAAUAAAGAUAUGUUAACAACCUA
Ylistrum balloti is the source of this 3433-nucleotide long non-coding RNA. RefSeq lists it as uncharacterized. The record is from RefSeq and is a predicted model, not a curated record. NCBI's taxonomy places the organism in Eukaryota, Metazoa, Mollusca, Bivalvia, Pectinida, Pectinidae. The transcript is spliced from 2 exons.